RNAcentral lists this small nucleolar RNA (124 nucleotides) under Otolemur garnettii (small-eared galago). The record is from RNAcentral. Lineage: Eukaryota; Metazoa; Chordata; Mammalia; Primates; Galagidae.
GUUUAUAUUUCAUUGGUUUUUUUCUUUAUGUCGAAAGAAAUUUCUGGUGUGCUAAAUAAUCCUUUGGAAGUAAAUUAGCAUCAUGACUAAUUUAGCCAAUGAUGUCAGUUACUGUCAGACAAGU